UACGGGGGGGGCAAGCGUUGUUCGGAAUUACUGGGCGUAAAGGGCGCGUAGGCGGCCUUCUAAGUCGGACGUGAAAUCCCUCGGCUUAACCGAGGAACUGCGUCCGAGACUGAAAGGCUUGAAUCCGGGAGAGGGAUGUGGAAUUCCAGGUGUAGCGGUGAAAUUCGUAGAUAUCGAGAGGAACACCGGUGGCGAAGGCGGCCAACUGGACGAAUACUGACGCUGAGACUCGAAAGCGUGGGGAGCAAACAGG
This 253-nucleotide ribosomal RNA is filed under the name uncultured bacterium. Its description in RNAcentral is "partial 16S ribosomal RNA". It matches the Rfam family "Bacterial small subunit ribosomal RNA", at positions 524 to 776 of the family's 1533-position model. The record is from RNAcentral.